CCUUCACAGCAUCUGCCCACUGCAAAGCCUCAAGAUCCUGUGAGGCCCAUUGGGUAGCUUUGGCCACAUAUCUCCCAGGGAUGUACAGAAGAGGAAGAAGGUUCGGGGAAUGGAUUGUGAUUGCGGCUGGGCUGACGAGGUGGUGACCUCGGGACUACGAAACAAAGCUGACCGGUGGCUUCCAAACAAACAGCAAAUGGGAGAACCUCAGGGCACCACCUCCAUCUAUCAUAAUGCAUAAAACUAAUGAAUAAAAUGACAGUAACAGAAUACAUGCUCUUAUUACAGCAGAGAAAUUGUAACAUUACAGUGCAACAUCCCACCCUUUCCAGUGGGACAUUCUAAGACCAGUUAGCCCCAGGACAUGAUACACCAUCUGUAUAGAACCUUAGUUAUUGAGCUAUCACUGGAAUGGGAGCACAUGGAACCCAUUGGUGCCUGAAGUGUUGCCUUUUACCAGGACACACCAUCACACAGAAAAAUCUUGGAAAAGUCUUGUUGCAGGUGUCUUUUGUCACCAGUUUUAUCCAUUCCUCAGUGAGACCCGAAGCAAGGCGCCAGUGUAAUUAACAAGACGUUUUGCCAGCAGAAUCCUGUGUUGUUCCAUUUUUACAUCCUUUCUGAGUUUUACUUUCUUACCUAAAAAUUAAGACUGUCAAGACUAGUCUUCCUAGGUUUUUCAGGAAGACUUCUUGACAUUGGGAGAAACUCGGAGCAUGUGUAUUGUGAGCCUGGCAUCUUUACUGAAGGGAUGAGAAUCGGUGGAGUACAAGCUUUCCCCCAUCCAACUUCAGUGUUCCAUCUCCUUCCUGGAAGACCUCCUCUGUGGGGAAGAGGAAAUUCAGUCCUGAUGGCUCAUUCAGUCCCUGGCUUCUCUGCAGAGAUUGCUGCCAACAGUUGGUCCAGAGGUGGUAGGUUUUAUGAGGUGGCAUGUGUACUUUAACACACAGUCUGUACCUAAUCUUCGUCAAUGGAUGCUGUUGCACCACCUUCAACAUCUAAUGUAGCCAAAUCUUCUUGACAAGAUGCUGCAACAGGCUGAGCAGUGUCUACACCAACACCUACAUCAUUGUGAACAGCUGUGCUCUUUUACUCUUUGCUGAUCAUUGUACAAAAUAAGCUCUACAGCCAAAACUAUAGAGACCACCAAACAAAUAGCAGGUGAAAGUGAAUUUUGCUAAUUAUCCUCAGUUCAUUUCAAACCAGUGACGAAGGCCAAAUCUACAGUAGAAAAUUUUUGCCAGUAUAGCCAUACCGACUAACCUUCCUAAUGUAUCAAAGGGGUAGCCAUGUUAGUCUGGAUCUGUAAAAGCAGCAAAGAGUCCUGUGGCACCUUA
Molecule: long non-coding RNA, 1337 nt
Organism: Trachemys scripta elegans
Lineage: Eukaryota; Metazoa; Chordata; Testudines; Emydidae
Exons: 6
Source: RefSeq, a predicted model, not a curated record